This 532-nucleotide ribosomal RNA is filed under the name Crocidura miya. Its description in RNAcentral is "partial 16S ribosomal RNA". It matches the Rfam family "Bacterial large subunit ribosomal RNA", at positions 1816 to 2584 of the family's 2925-position model. The record is from RNAcentral. Lineage: Eukaryota; Metazoa; Chordata; Mammalia; Eulipotyphla; Soricidae.
CACCUCUAGCAUCACUAGUAUUAGAGGCACUGCCUGCCCAGUGACAUUAGUUAAACGGCCGCGGUAUCCUGACCGUGCAAAGGUAGCAUAAUCAUUUGUUCCUUAAUUAGGGACUUGUAUGAAUGGCCCCACGAGGGUUUAACUGUCUCUUACUUUUAAUCAGUGAAAUUGACCUUCCCGUGAAGAGGCGGGAAUAUAAAAAUAAGACGAGAAGACCCUAUGGAGCUUAAAUUAAAGUGUCCAACAAAGCUCAAACUUAACCCAACAGGAAUAACAAUGCUCUAACUGGACAACAAAUUUUGGUUGGGGUGACCUCGGAGUAUAACAAAACCUCCGAGCGAUUUUAACCAAGACUUACCCGUCAAGGUGACAUAAUUUAUUGAUCCAAUCAUAUUGAUCAACGAAACAAGUUACCCUAGGGAUAACAGCGCAAUCCUAUUCGAGAGUUCAUAUCGACAAUAGGGUUUACGACCUCGAUGUUGGAUCAGGACACCCAAAUGGUGCAGCAGCUAUUAAAGGUUCGUUUGUUCAA